GACGAACGCUGGCGGCGUGCUUAACACAUGCAAGUCGAACGGAAAGGCCCUGCUUGCAGGGUACUCGAGUGGCGAACGGGUGAGUAACACGUGGGUGAUCUGCCCUGCACUUCGGGAUAAGCCUGGGAAACUGGGUCUAAUACCGGAUAGGAGCCAUUUUUAGUGUGAUGGUUGGAAAGUUUUUUCGGUGUAGGAUGAGCUCGCGGCCUAUCAGCUUGUUGGUGGGGUAAUGGCCUACCAAGGCGGCGACGGGUAGCCGGCCUGAGAGGGUGGACGGCCACAUUGGGACUGGGAUACGGCCCAGACUCCUACGGGAGGCAGCAGUGGGGAAUAUUGCACAAAGGGCGCAAGCCUGAUGCAGCGACGCCGCGUGGGGGAUGACGGCCUUCGGGUUGUAAACUCCUUUCGCUAGGGACGAAGCUUUUUGUGACGGUACCUAGAUAAGAAGCACCGGCUAACUACGUG
Molecule: ribosomal RNA, 465 nt
Filed under: uncultured bacterium
Lineage: Bacteria
Description: partial 16S ribosomal RNA
Rfam family: Bacterial small subunit ribosomal RNA
Source: RNAcentral